RNAcentral lists this ribosomal RNA (254 nucleotides) under uncultured bacterium. RNAcentral describes it as "partial 16S ribosomal RNA". It matches the Rfam family "Bacterial small subunit ribosomal RNA", at positions 524 to 776 of the family's 1533-position model. The record is from RNAcentral.
UACGUAGGGAGCAAGCGUUGUUCGGAUUUACUGGGCGUAAAGGGCGCGUAGGCGGCGUUGUAAGUCACUUGUGAAAUCUCUGAGCUUAACUCAGAACGGCCAAGUGAUACUGCAGUGCUAGAGUGCAGAAGGGGCAAUCGGAAUUCUUGGUGUAGCGGUGAAAUGCGUAGAUAUCAAGAGGAACACCUGAGGUGAAGACGGGUUGCUGGGCUGACACUGACGCUGACAGCGCGAAAGCUAGGGGAGCAAACGGG